RNAcentral lists this transfer RNA (69 nucleotides) under Chaetophractus villosus (large hairy armadillo). Its description in RNAcentral is "tRNA-Arg". It matches the Rfam family "tRNA". Rfam says of the family: Transfer RNA (tRNA) molecules are approximately 80 nucleotides in length. Their secondary structure includes four short double-helical elements and three loops (D, anti-codon, and T loops). Further hydrogen bonds mediate the characteristic L-shaped molecular structure. tRNAs have two regions of fundamental functional importance: the anti-codon, which is responsible for specific mRNA codon recognition, and the 3' end, to which the tRNAs corresponding amino acid is attached (by aminoacyl-tRNA synthetases). tRNAs cope with the degeneracy of the genetic code in two manners: having more than one tRNA (with a specific anti-codon) for a particular amino acid; and 'wobble' base-pairing, i.e. permitting non-standard base-pairing at the 3rd anti-codon position. Lineage: Eukaryota; Metazoa; Chordata; Mammalia; Cingulata; Chlamyphoridae. The record is from RNAcentral.
UGGUAGCUAGUUUAACUUAAAACAACUGAUUUCGACUCAAUAAACUAUGAUUUAGUUCAUAGCUAUCAC